GCCCCAGCCUGCUGUUUCCGGCUUCUCUGUCUACCCAGGUCCCUCCCUGGAGCUCUGACGACACAGAGAAGAGAAAGUAGGCUGGAGGAGGAAGAGGAAGAAAGUGGGUACAUUCUUCUCUGACAAGAACAUAAGCUCCUGGAGGACGGGAUCAUCUCAUCUUGUAAACGCUGCUGUGUAGCUAGAGAAGACAACAUUUUUUCUUGCCAGUAAAAACAAGGACUACA
Molecule: long non-coding RNA, 227 nt
Organism: Myotis lucifugus (little brown bat)
Lineage: Eukaryota; Metazoa; Chordata; Mammalia; Chiroptera; Vespertilionidae
Exons: 2
Source: RefSeq, a predicted model, not a curated record